Brassica napus (rape) is the source of this 542-nucleotide long non-coding RNA. RefSeq lists it as uncharacterized. The transcript has 3 exons. The record is from RefSeq and is a predicted model, not a curated record. Lineage: Eukaryota; Viridiplantae; Streptophyta; Magnoliopsida; Brassicales; Brassicaceae.
CGUCAACUCCAAUCUAUAUAAAUGCUUUGAAUAUCAAAGUGAUCAUCACUCAAUAGUAUUAAGAUGACGGGCUCUAUACUCUCCUCCAUCAUUUUCUUCCUUCUUUUUAUCGGACUUUCACAUUUUGUUGAUGCUCAUAUGGAACACCGUAAAUUAAGUGGAGCAAAAGACACAAUAUCCAUGAGGAGGAACUUGGAAGGAAAUGGGGGCUCCAAAAUUAAAGCUUCACCGAGCUGGUCGCGACGCAGUGGACAAAAAAACACUCAACAUGAGCCGUCCAAAACCCGUCCUGAUCAAGCGACGCACCAAGGGCGAGGAAAUUAUAUAUCUUAUGCGGGCCUUAAAAAUCAGACGACGACAAGCAAAUGCACCAUUUACGAAAGAUGUAAGCGUGAAGUAAGGCCCUAGCUAAGGCACACCCCGGACUAGUCAAUGAACUUGGUUAUUACUUUGGUUUGUACGUUGUUAUGAGCUUUCUAUUUCCGUUGUGUUUCAUUAUUAACUGUCUUUUUACUGAUGGAAUAAGCAAUUCUUGGAAACUA